CCGAGUUCUGAGGUCUCUUAUCGAGCCUCAACUCCCACACCAUGUGUACCUUACCUUCUGUUGCUUCGGCGAGCCGCCCUGAAAAGGGCGCCAACCCCUCUCGCGGGUUGGAGAGUCUUGCUCGCCGGAGGACCAUGAAACUCUUGCUAAUUGAAUCGUCUGAGUAACGUUUUAAUAAAUUA
This 182-nucleotide unclassified non-coding RNA is filed under the name uncultured Helicosporium. RNAcentral's name for it is "sequence contains ITS1". Lineage: Eukaryota; Fungi; Ascomycota; Dothideomycetes; Tubeufiales; Tubeufiaceae. The record is from RNAcentral.